RNAcentral lists this ribosomal RNA (243 nucleotides) under uncultured bacterium. RNAcentral describes it as "partial 16S ribosomal RNA". It matches the Rfam family "Bacterial small subunit ribosomal RNA", at positions 93 to 339 of the family's 1533-position model. The record is from RNAcentral.
GAGUGGCGAACGGGUGAGUAAUACAUCGGAACGUGUCCUAUCGUGGGGGAUAGCUCGGCGAAAGCCGGAUUAAUACCGCAUGUGAUCGAGAGAUGAAAGCAGGGGACCGCAAGGCCUUGCGCGAUUGGAGCGGCCGAUGUCGGAUUAGCUUGUUGGCGGGGUAAAAGCCCACCAAGGCGACGAUCCGUAGCUGGUUUGAGAGAACGACCAGCCACACUGGGACUGAGACACGGCCCAGACUCC